CGUGGCGCUUCUGACAAGUGGAGCUUAUGCAGCCCUGCGGGAAGAGUAAGAAACCGGCUGUGGUAAAGUCUCUGGAAAGAAUCCCAGAUCCAAACACGAGUGAAGAACAAAAAUUUAGGGCUCGUUGGUUGUAAGCAACUGAAGUGGGUGGACUAGUUACAACAGAAAAGGAAUUCAUGAGCGCGCGAGAGCCAGAAGGCCAACUUCCGGUUUCCUGGAAGGAGCAGCCCCAGGCUGAGGGCUCCUGGCGGCAGGAACAGAUGGGCUGCCUCCUCUGAUACUACAGCUGGGAUGGGGCAGUUCCAACGACUCCCAGGAUCAAGAAUAAAAUUUUCAGUCUUUAUGUUGCUAGAACCAAGAAUAAACUUCCACUGUCCAGUGGCCUACCUCCAGAGUCACAAGGCAUUCCUUCGGUCGGGGAGACACGGAACUCUGACAGCAGUUCCACGGAUGUGAUCCAGUGCGAGAAACAACAGAGCCGCAUCAGAUGCUUUACAACAGACAUGUGCUGACUACCCGAUCUGAGGGGCUCUGUUCUUUAACCGCAGAAUGCAGCCCAUUUACAUUUAGUAGAAUAUGGUGUUUGCAUUCGGUAGAAUUUUGUAUAACAGCUAAUAAACUUCGUUUGAUACCUUUCA
This is a long non-coding RNA of Hyaena hyaena (striped hyena), 638 nucleotides long. RefSeq lists it as uncharacterized. Lineage: Eukaryota; Metazoa; Chordata; Mammalia; Carnivora; Hyaenidae. The record is from RefSeq and is a predicted model, not a curated record. The transcript has 3 exons.